Molecule: ribosomal RNA, 548 nt
Filed under: uncultured bacterium
Lineage: Bacteria
Description: bacterial SSU rRNA
Rfam family: Bacterial small subunit ribosomal RNA
Source: RNAcentral
GCCUGGGGAGUACGGUCGCAAGAUUAAAACUCAAAGGAAUAGACGGGGACCCACACAAGCGGUGGAGCAUGUGGUUUAAUUCGACAAUAAACGGGGAACCUUACCAGGGCUUGACAUCUCCGGAACUCUACAGAAAUGUGGAGGUGCCGCAAGGAACCGGAUGACAGGUGCUGCAUGGUCGUCGUCAGCUCGUGCCUUGAGGUGUUCGGUUAAGUCCGUAAACGAGCGCAACCCAUGUCCUGUGUUGCAUUUCUCACAGGAGACUGCCGGCUCCAAGUCGGAGGAAGGUAUGGAUGACGUCAGAUCAGCAUGGCCCUUAUGCCCUGGGCCACACACGUGCUACAAUGGCCGGUACAAUGAGCAGCGAACCCGUAAGGGGGAGCCAAUCUCAUCAAAGCCGGUCUCAGUUCGGAUUGAGGGCUGCAAUUCGCCCUCAUGAAGUUGGAAUCGCUAGUAAACGCGAAUCAGACAUGUCGCGUUGAAUAUGUUCCUGGGUCUUGUACUCACCGCCCGUCAUAUCAUGAAAGGUGGGGGUACCCGAAGUCGCC